GAAUUCGCCCUUAGAGUUUGAUCCUGGCUCAGAUUGAACGCUGGCGGCAUGCUUUACACAUGCAAGUCGAACGGCAGCACGGGCUUCGGCCUGGUGGCGAGUGGCGAACGGGUGAGUAAUACAUCGGAACGUACCCAGAAGUGGGGGAUAACGUAGCGAAAGUUACGCUAAUACCGCAUACGAUCUACGGAUGAAAGUGGGGGAUCGCAAGACCUCAUGCUUUUGGAGCGGCCGAUGUCUGAUUAGCUAGUUGGUGAGGUAAAGGCUCACCAAGGCGACGAUCAGUAGCUGGUCUGAGAGGACGACCAGCCACACUGGAACUGAGACACGGUCCAGACUCCUACGGGAGGCAGCAGUGGGGAAUUUUGGACAAUGGGCGCAAGCCUGAUCCAGCAAUGCCGCGUGAGUGAAGAAGGCCUUCGGGUUGUAAAGCUCUUUUGUCAGGGAAGAAACGGCCGAGGCUAAUACCUUUGGCUAAUGACGGUACCUGAAGAAUAAGCACCGGCUAACUGCGUGCCAGCAGCCGCGGUAAUACGUAGGGUGCAAGCGUUAAUCGGAAUUACUGGGCGUAAAGCGUGCGCAGGCGGUUUUGUAAGUCUGUCGUGAAAGCCCCGGGCUCAACCUGGGAAUUGCGAUGGAGACUGCAAGGCUUGAAUCUGGCAGAGGGGGGUAGAAUUCCACGUGUAGCAGUGAAAUGCGUAGAGAUGUGGAGGAACACCGAUGGCGAAGGCAGCCCCCUGGGUCAAGAUUGACGCUCAUGCACGAAAGCGUGGGGAGCAAACAGGAUUAGAUACCCUGGUAGUCCACGCCCUAAACGAUGUCUACUAGUUGUCGGGUUUUAAUUAACUUGGUAACGCAGCUAACGCGUGAAGUAGACCGCCUGGGGAGUACGGUCGCAAGAUUAAAACUCAAAUGAAUUGACGGGGGCAAGGGCGAAUUC
This 940-nucleotide ribosomal RNA is filed under the name uncultured bacterium. RNAcentral describes it as "bacterial SSU rRNA". It matches the Rfam family "Bacterial small subunit ribosomal RNA", at positions 1 to 932 of the family's 1533-position model. The record is from RNAcentral.